Molecule: long non-coding RNA, 372 nt
Filed under: Ananas comosus (pineapple)
Lineage: Eukaryota; Viridiplantae; Streptophyta; Magnoliopsida; Poales; Bromeliaceae
Description: long non-coding RNA (ACOM_LNC016553)
Source: RNAcentral
UAUGUGGUUCAGUAUUUAUUUACAUUUGAAAAUGUGGAUUUCUGGAUUUUGUAGAAUAAAAGGUUUUCUACCCCUCGUGGUAGCCUUUUUAAAAGAAUAAAAGUUUCUGUGUAGGAAACAGUUUUCAAAAGAUUUUUGUGGAUUUCUGUUUAAACCUUGAAUGUAAAACUGUGAUGUGAAUGGUGAAUGUAUGAAUGUAUAAUUAUCUUUAUAUUCAUCUGGUUGUGGUUGUAUCCUGGUUGUACUGUGUAUUUGAUCGACGCCGUGCAAAUACAGGGGAGACUCUGUCCGUGUGAACAGUGGAUUUUCUGUAUUUGUGGCGGAUCUGGCAUACUCUUGGGUCAGGUUUUCAAAAAAAAAAAUUCUGACGCU